GACGAACGCUGGCGGCGUGCUUAACACAUGCAAGUCGAACGGAAAGGCCCUGCUUGCAGGGUACUCGAGUGGCGAACGGGUGAGUAACACGUGGGUGAUCUGCCCUGCACUUCGGGAUAAGCCUGGGAAACUGGGUCUAAUACCGGAUAGGAGCCAUUUUUAGUGUGAUGGUUGGAAAGUUUUUUCGGUGUAGGAUGAGCUCGCGGCCUAUCAGCUUGUUGGUGGGGUAAUGGCCUACCAAGGCGGCGACGGGUAGCCGGCCUGAGAGGGUGGACGGCCACAUUGGGACUGAGAGACGGCCCAGCCUCCUACGGGAGGCAGCAGUGGGGAAUAUUGCACAAUGGGCGCGAGCCUGAUGCAGCGACGCCGCGUGGGGGAUGACGGCCUUCGGGUUGUAAACUCCUUUCGCUAGGGACGAAGCUUUUUGUGACGGUACCUAGAUAAGAAGCACCGGCUAACUACGUG
Molecule: ribosomal RNA, 465 nt
Filed under: uncultured bacterium
Lineage: Bacteria
Description: partial 16S ribosomal RNA
Rfam family: Bacterial small subunit ribosomal RNA
Source: RNAcentral